UUGGAGGGCAAGUCUGGUGCCAGCAGCCGCGGUAAUUCCAGCUCCAAUAGCGUAUAUUAAAGUUGUUGCAGUUAAAAAGCUCGUAGUUGUAUUUCGGGAUUGACGUGAUGGUCAUGCCUUAAGGGGUAUGAACUGUUACUGUUGGUUUCUCACCUUCUGGAGAAACUUGAUGUCCUUUAUUGGGUGUCUUGCGGAUCCAGGACCUUUACCUUGAAAAAAUUAGGGUGUUUAAAGCAGGCAUUUUUGCUCGAAUACAUUAGCAUGGAAUAAUAGAAUAGGACGGCAUGGUUCUAUUUUGUUGGUUUCUAGGAUCACCGUAAUGAUUAAUAGGGAUAGUUGGGGGCAUUAGUAUUCAAUUGUCAGAGGUGAAAUUCUUGGAUUUAUUGAAGACUAACUACUGCGAAAGCAUUUGCCAAGGAUGUUUUCAUUAAUCAAGAACGAAAGUUAGGGGAUCGAAGACGAUCAGAUACCGUCGUAGUCUUAACCAUAAACUAUGCCGACUAGGAAUCAGACGAUGUUAAUUUUUUAAUGACUCGUUUGGCACCUUACGGGAAACCAAAGUGUUUGGGUUC
RNAcentral lists this ribosomal RNA (572 nucleotides) under uncultured Glomeromycotina. Its description in RNAcentral is "SSU rRNA". It matches the Rfam family "Eukaryotic small subunit ribosomal RNA", at positions 548 to 1114 of the family's 1831-position model. Lineage: Eukaryota; Fungi; Glomeromycota. The record is from RNAcentral.